CUGUCGUCAGCUCGUGUUGUGAAAUGUUGGGUUAAGUCCCGCAACGAGCGCAACCCUUAUCCUUUGUUGCCAGCGGUCCGGCCGGGAACUCAAAGGAGACUGCCAGUGAUAAACUGGAGGAAGGUGGGGAUGACGUCAAGUCAUCAUGGCCCUUACGAGUAGGGCUACACACGUGCUACAAUGGCGCAUACAAAGAGAAGCGACCUCGCGAGAGCAAGCGGACCUCAUAAAGUGCGUCGUAGUCCGGAUUGGAGUCUGCAACUCGACUCCAUGAAGUCGGAAUCGCUAGUAAUCGUGGAUCAGAAUGCCACGGUGAAUACGUUCCCGGGCCUUGUACACACCGCCCGUCACACCAUGGGAGUGGGUUGCAAAAGAAGUAGGUAGCUUAACCUUCGGGAGGGCGCUUACCACUUUGUGAUUCAUGACUGGGGUGAAGUCGUAACAAGGUAACCGUAGGGGAACCUGCGGUUGGAUCACCUCCUUACCUUAAAGAA
Molecule: ribosomal RNA, 494 nt
Filed under: Enterobacter hormaechei
Lineage: Bacteria; Pseudomonadati; Pseudomonadota; Gammaproteobacteria; Enterobacterales; Enterobacteriaceae
Also listed under: 1 other name
Description: bacterial SSU rRNA
Rfam family: Bacterial small subunit ribosomal RNA
Source: RNAcentral